AACAGAUUUUGCUUCCAGGCGCACAAAGGCCACCGAUCGGAUCAACGUGAAGAAACCCGUUCGGACCGCUGCCGCAUGCCUCGCCUCAGCAACGGAUCAACCUCUGCACCUACAUCCACUUCGACAGGUCGUCAGUCAAAGCAGGUCUAUUUUACCCUCCUUCAUGCGGAUGAAUCUGAUCAAGUUUAUUUCAAAUUCCAAUCUAGAGUAGUCACACUUUUUCGCCUCUGCCUGCCUGCUUCUAGUAGGGUUGCAUUUCUCCAAUUUUCACAGCUUCAAGUCAAUACCUAUGAAUUGUGUAUGUGAUUCAUCAUUGUUCAAUUAUCCCGUACGCUAUGUGAAUUAUAUUCUAAAGUACAGGUUGACAACAACCUACUAGAUGUACAUACUUUUCUAGCUGGUACACAGUAAAAAGAAAGGGCUUGAGUAAAUGCACAUUGUUCAUUUCAUAUCUAUCAGAAGUUCCUGCAUUUAUUUUCCAAUAGCCAUAAUCAAUGUCAGCCACACACUUUGAAGGUUUUACACUUUUAUUUGGUAUCCUACUGCGCUGCAUGAUAACAUCCACAUUUACACGUAGUUUAGGCCCAGUAAAGCAUUCCCCCCUGGUUUCUUCAGCUUGCAAGAAAAGUUAUGGAUUCCGAGUUGACAUUCUAUUUAUUAAAAAGGUGCCUACAUGAAAAAAAAUCAUUGAAAAGCCAAGUGAGACACAAUAACUGUCCACCCAAAUCAUUGUGCUGGCUCAAAGCCCUCUGCGACACAGAGGCUGGCGGGCUCUUGCUCUGCACCCGCCAAUCCGGCGAUGGUGCUAUAUGUGAAUUUGCCCGAAUUGUGAAACUAUUGCAUGUGCACUAUAUGUAUGAUGGAAGGUUUCACUUGAGAAGUGUCCAAACUGAGGUAUUAGAUAACUGCCAUACUUAAUGGAAGAGACAUUCUCCCUAACCUGCAACUGCACCAGUUAUAUAGAUGCACAUAUAACUGAUUUGUUGCUAUCUGAGACCAUUAUUUUAAUUGUGAAUCUUAUUUUUCUUUACCUCUAGGCAAUGAACCAUCUUACCCUUAAAUCAGAAUUCAUGUUUUUUUCGCUCCUAUUUUGUUCCUUACCAGUGACAGUGCAGAUUCCUAAAUGCAUAAAGCUCCCGGGAAGGUAAAACUGUGGUGUUUCAUUAAAUUGAAAUUUGUCAUUUAUAUUUGACUGCUUCAUUCUUCUCUAAAACCACAGGUAUAUCCAUACAGUGAACUGGAUUAUGCAUUAAUCGGUUGAUUCAGAGCUCUUGUAUCUUGAGUGGCAUUCACCUUUGGGCAAUUCAAGCGACCGCAGGUCAUGGUCUUCUUAUUGAUGUCUCACUGUUGAAAAGAGUUCUUAUGUGGGUUCUGUUUUAUUGUCUUUAUGCUUGUGAAGUACACGGUGGGGGCGCGCAUGGUUGAUGAUUAUGUUCUGGGUUGGCCAUUGAGAGGGAGGCCGAAGCAAACUCCAUCAGGUUUCAGGUGCACGCCCUCUGUCCCUGUUUUAGUCUCUGUAGCUAAACUUGAGAAUUGUACACUGGUAUACACAGUUAGUUGCUGAGUUUACAUGCAGUUAUGGAAGUUAGAGCACAUACAUGCUUGAUUUUACUUCCUUUAAUACAGGGCAUUCUAUAAUUACUAAGAACUGAUUUGUUGAAUUGUGGCUCCCUAUUUUGUCCGGAUAGCUACUUCAGGUUAGGCGGGAGAAAUAAAAAGGGUGACCAUAGAUAUAUGGUCUAGCAUCACAAGGUUCAGGUAACUGCUAUUGAUCGACCGUUGCUUCGGUCGAGGUGGAUUAUGCUUGAUUAUGUUCUUUGUAUUUUUUUCAUGGCCUACACUGGUGUUAUCAUCUAUUCUGUUUCAAAAAUUUCAAUGGCUUAGUUUCAUGUCCCGGUACCACUUGAAGUACAACUAAGUACCUUCUGACAUGACAAUAAUGUAUGUAUUUACCUAUGGUUAUUGUUUCCUAUAAGAAACAUGAUCAUCUCACCUUGGUUUCCCCUGUAUCUGACUUGGGACAGUUUUAUGUGAGAUUUGUUUUGCAUUUUCUGUGUGUGUGGAUGCUUAAGCUUAAGCUUUUGUUAUUUGGUUCAGUUAGAGAUUAAAGAAGACUGAAAUUAUGGUCUCGCAGCGAGGAUUGCUGUGCCCAACCUGCACAAGAAUGUAGUCCUUCUCCUAGACGUAAG
This 2189-nucleotide ribosomal RNA is filed under the name Triticum aestivum (bread wheat). RNAcentral describes it as "partial small subunit ribosomal RNA". Lineage: Eukaryota; Viridiplantae; Streptophyta; Magnoliopsida; Poales; Poaceae. The record is from RNAcentral.